Molecule: unclassified non-coding RNA, 200 nt
Filed under: Otidea sp.
Lineage: Eukaryota; Fungi; Ascomycota; Pezizomycetes; Pezizales; Pyronemataceae
Description: partial internal transcribed spacer 2
Source: RNAcentral
UUAAGUUCAGCGGGUAUCCCUACCUGAUCCGAGGUCAACAUAGAUGGUUAGAGGUUUGUGGCAGGAUGGCCAUGUAAUCCGAGCGAAAGAGCAAACUUAUAACGCCAGGGAAACAUGGGGCAAUCCGCCUCUGAAUUUCGAAGGUGAGGUCACCAAUGGGCAUAGCUCAACCUUCAUAACCAAGCCAAAGAGCUUGAGUG